CCUGAGUACGACGGAGCACGUGAAAUUCCGUCGGAAUCUGGGAGGACCAUCUCCUAAGGCUAAAUACUCUCUAGUGACCGAUAGUGAACCAGUACCGUGAGGGAAAGGUGAAAAGUACCCCGGAAGGGGAGUGAAAGAGAACUUGAAACCGUGUGCUUACAAGUAGUCAGAGCCCGUUAAUGGGUGAUGGCGUGCCUUUUGUAGAAUGAACCGGCGAGUUACGAUCUGAUGCAAGGUUAAGCAGAAAAUGUGGAGCCGUAGCGAAAGCGAGUCUGAAUAGGGCGAAUGAGUAUUUGGUCGUAGACCCGAAACCAGGUGAUCUACCCUUGGUCAGGUUGAAGUUCAGGUAACACUGAAUGGAGGACCGAACCGACUUACGUUGAAAAGUGAGCGGAUGAACUGAGGGUAGCGGAGAAAUUCCAAUCGAACUUGGAGAUAGCUGGUUCUCUCCGAAAUAGCUUUAGGGCUAGCCUCAAGUGAUGAUUAUUGGAGGUAGAGCACUGUUUGGACGAGGGGCCCCUCUCGGGUUACCGAAUUCAGACAAACUCCGAAUGCCAAAUAAUUUAACUUGGGAGUCAGAAUGUGGGUGAUAAGGUCCAUAUUCGAAAGGGAAACAGCCCAGACCACCAGCUAAGGUCCCAAAAUAUAUGUUAAGUGGAAAAGGAUGUGGCGUUGCCCAGACAACUAGGAUGUUGGCUUAGAAGCAGCCAUCAUUUAAAGAGUGCGUAAUAGCUCACUAGUCGAGUGACACUGCGCCGAAAAUGUACCGGGGCUAAACAUAUUACCGAAGCUGUGGAUUGUCCUUUGGACAAUGGUAGGAGAGCGUUCUAAGGGCGUUGAAGCAUGAUCGCAAGGACAUGUGGAGCGCUUAGAAGUGAGAAUGCCGGUGUGAGUAGCGAAAGACGGGUGAGAAUCCCGUCCACCGAUUGACUAAGGUUUCCAGAGGAAGGCUCGUCCGCUCUGGGUUAGUCGGGUCCUAAGCUGAGGCCGACAGGCGUAGGCGAUGGAUAACAGGUUGAUAUUCCUGUACCACCAUUAUUCGUUUUAAGCGAUGGGGGGACGCAGUAGGAUAGGCGAAGCGUGCUGUUGGAGUGCACGUCCAAGCAGUGAGAUUGAGUGUUAGGCAAAUCCGGCACUCUUAAGAUUGAGCUGUGAUGGGG
RNAcentral lists this ribosomal RNA (1160 nucleotides) under Staphylococcus pseudintermedius. RNAcentral describes it as "partial 23S ribosomal RNA". It matches the Rfam family "Bacterial large subunit ribosomal RNA", at positions 407 to 1571 of the family's 2925-position model. Lineage: Bacteria; Bacillati; Bacillota; Bacilli; Caryophanales; Staphylococcaceae. The record is from RNAcentral.